This 485-nucleotide ribosomal RNA is filed under the name Ethmostigmus rubripes rubripes. Its description in RNAcentral is "partial 16S small subunit ribosomal RNA". It matches the Rfam family "Bacterial large subunit ribosomal RNA", at positions 1829 to 2600 of the family's 2925-position model. The record is from RNAcentral. Lineage: Eukaryota; Metazoa; Arthropoda; Chilopoda; Scolopendromorpha; Scolopendridae.
GUCUUCUAGGAUUAGAAUUAGAAGUCCAACCUGCCCAGUGUGUAAUAAAUGGCCGCGGUAUUUUGACCGUGCGAAGGUAGCAUAAUAAAUAGUCUAUUAAUUGUAGUCUGGUAUGAAAGGUUUGACGUAGGAUAGCUUUCUUAUUUUUAUAGAUGAAUUUAAAUUGUUAGUGAAAAUGCUAACAUAUAUUAGAUGGACGAGAAGACCCUAUAGAGCUUUAUAUUUAUUUUAAUUAUUGUGGUAUUGAAUUGAAUAUAUAUUUUGUUGGGGCGACAUUAAAUAUUAAACAUUUAAUAUAUUAUCUUUUUGUAAGGUUUUAUGAUCCAUUAUUAAUGAUUUAAGACUAAGUUACCUUAGGGAUAACAGCGUAAUUUUACUUUAGAGUUCUUAUCGAUAGUGAAGUUUGCGACCUCGAUGUUGGAUUAAAAUACCUAUAAGGCGCAGGAGUUUUACAAGGUAGUCUGUUCGACUGUUAAAUUUUUACA